CCUCCCUCCAGCGUCCUCUCCAGUCGCCUCCCUCCCUCCAGCGCUCUCUCAGCGUCGACCUCCAGCGCCAACUCCGCACAAAAGCCCUAGCCUCUCAACAUCCAGCAUCGCCGACCUCCAGUGCCGCCUCCCUUCAGCAUCGCUGACCUCCAGCAACCUCCCGUCCUCCACCUCCAGCGGCCUCUAGCGACCUCGAAUUCGAUUCCAGCGACCUCCGUCCUUGGCACCGUGUGGACAGAGCAAUUUGAAGAUUAUUUAAGCAAUGCAAGCGGUGUUGUGCAUUUGGAACGGAUCUUGAUCUUUGAAGAUCUUUGUCAAAGAUCCAACUAUCAUUGUGCAAAUAAGAAAGAGAACUAAGCACCAACUGGGUUCAAGACAAAAAAUGAACGUAUUUUUUUUAAAGAUAAAGCAAGCACACAGGAGAUCUCGGAACAAGUAAGAAGUCAGAGAUGAGUUGACUUUGUUUCUCACGCUGAUCAGGACGGGCACCAAGAAUAGUUGCUUGGUCUCUGACCUACUCCCAAGCUGCUAGCUCUUUGGCUGUCGAGAUAUAAUGGAUGUUGAUCUAGUGAUGGAGAAUGAUGAGACUAAUUUUGAAGCCUAAAUAUUGAAGGAAAAGUCCGUGGAUGAUCCCUUAGUAUUAUUUUCUUCUUAAUACAUGUGUUGCUUAUGCUUGAGGCACAGUGUAUAUCAAUUAUUUACAGCAAAUUUAUAUGAAAUUAACUCAUCUGAGUUUGUAAUUUAUUUCACCAAGAAUUUUCUUGUAGCAUUCUACUAGGAAAUCCCAAAUAAGAUAUUCAAGUCA
This is a long non-coding RNA of Zingiber officinale, 805 nucleotides long. RefSeq lists it as uncharacterized. NCBI's taxonomy places the organism in Eukaryota, Viridiplantae, Streptophyta, Magnoliopsida, Zingiberales, Zingiberaceae. The record is from RefSeq and is a predicted model, not a curated record. The transcript has 3 exons.